AUCUUCUUCUCCUUUUAACCUUAGAUAUGAAAGACCAGGCUAUCUUCCUGGGCACAGAUGGAAAAAUACCCCUACCCCAGCUUCGAAAUGAAACCAAAGUUUCAGUGCCUGAUGCCUGCAGCAGCUGAUCGGUUCUGUCAUCUUUACUGUUUUUGUGUACAUUACUUCAAUAGCCUACGAUUUCUUCUGCUCUGGAACUGCACAGGUAAGGAGUCAAAUGAUUCAAAGGUUUCACUCUACUUGUAUAGGGUGCUUCAUUUAUUUUUAACAGAUAUGUUAUAUAUCACAUUUUUCAGACAUUUAUGUGCAUUUGUCCACUGGCUCACAUGCUCUUUUCUCCAUUUGGUUGAUAAGGUUGUAUAUGUUUGAGCAUGAGAUUGAAAGUCAAACUUUUGCAUACUUGGGCUUUGCUAAUAAUAAAUUUAGGAAAUGGAAAUUUUCUUUUGCUGGAUGUUGAGGAGGCUCUGUGGAAGUGGUACAUUUUGAAACUGGUCAGAAGAAACCGAUAGACUUUAAUGAAGAAGAAAUGUCUUGAGGUUAAGGCACAGAGAGAGGGAGAGGGAGGGAGAGAAAGGAAGUGAGAGAUAGUAAUGAAGCAUAUGAUUAUGAGUAGUUAAGGAGGCAUAGGCUAGAAAUAUAAGUAUUUUAUGUGGUUAAACUCAUGCCUUAGGGAAAAGAUGGAAAAUAAGUUCUUGUGUCGUUCUAGAAUGACCCAUAGAGAAGGGUUGUGUUGUGAAGGAUCCUGAAACGAAGUCUGGGUUCUAUGGAAAAGAUGCCAAACUUGGACUUUAGUGGUAUAAGUCUUGUCUUAUUUGCCACAUAGUAAUUUCAGUAAUUUCUAGGAAUUUAUUGAAAAUCAUAAGCAUAUUCCCUGGGGAUAAACCAAAUUAUGGGGGUCCAGAAGAAGGAAGAGGUGGUCUUAAAAAGGGAAGCUACGUUAACCACAUAUCAGGAAAAAAAUUUCCCUAUGGAACUAUUUUGCCUAAAUUAGCAAAUAUAUUUCUAAUAUUGGUGGUAUCUGUUGAGAGUAUGAUCAGUUUUGCCCUUCAGAUGCUGUUCUUCUCUUGUGGCUAAUAUUCUAUUGCUAAGCAUAUGUUCUCCUCCCCCUCUGUAUCUCUUAGUCCUGUCUUGUAACAGAGCACUGCUGGAAGUGGAAUGUUCUGCAUGUGGUAUGGGGAAGGGACUCUGGGCCAUUUUAAAUUAACUUGUUCUUCAGGGCUUGCCCCAGCUUUAGAUCUCUUAAACGAGAGAUCUCUUUCACAUAAACUUGGUGACAUUGUUCUUUUCUUAAAUCUGAAAAUUAGACUUUUAUUUUUCCCUUUAGAGUUAAAAUUUGUUGACUGAGAGGAAGUCAUAGGUCUAUGAGACAUCUAGGAAUUGAGUUAGUAACUCAAACUUUGGGUGUUUUUUAAGAGUAUAUGUAGUAAGGAGAUAAUUUUCAAAUGCAUAUUUUCCAUGGGAAAAUAUUUCCCUCUCACAUAACUUUUCAAAAUCAUUGCCACAUAAAUUUUUAAUGUUACAUAUGAGAUUUUUGUUUGUUUUGUGCUUUUAAAAUAUAGCUUGUUCAUGAUGAGAUUAGUGUAUGGAAGAUAUUCCAGGAUAUGUUGAGAUGGAAAAUUACAUGUUUGGUUUCUUCUAAAAACUGUAUUUGAAAAAAAAUAUUUUUAAGGAAAUGAGUAUUUUUCAGUUUGUUUUAUAUAGCAGUCUCUGUGAUUAUAUAAUUGAAGAGUAUAUAAUAGGUUUCCAAUAAAAUUUUUUUUAAGUCGAUGAAUAAAGAAUGAAUUGCUUUUUUGUUAGGAUUAGCCAUUCAAAUGUUGGGACUUUUUCUAGUAUUUUCAUCACAGCAGAGAUUUUUUUUUCUUUCUUGAUUUUCAUGAUGGAGAAGAUGAGCUAAUAGAAGGAGAGAGAAAAUGUGGCUAAAACACUACCAUAGACCUGAGAAAAAUUUUAAGAUUUUCUUCUGGCUGGGGUUGGUCUUAGGUAAGCCUAAGAGGACAUGCCUAGCUUGAAUUUUAAGGAAAGGUGGAAAACCUGUAGAGGAGACACUCAUCACACAGUCAAGGCUUAGGGAUAGGCUCAGGGAGGGUAAUUGUCCUGUUUUGGCAGCCAUUUUGAGACAAAUGGACAUUUUCUGGCAUCAACAUGUAGUUUAAAAUUAAAUACUAUAUUUCUAUUUUGCAUCCUAAGAUAUUUGUAUAUUUCUAUGUUGUAUCCUAAGAUAUUUGAAAGUUUGAGGUUUAAGGAAUUUUUCUGAGACAGGGAGUAAAAAGUAAAAAGAGAUAGUGGCAUAGUCUUAUUAGUUCUAUAAUAAUCUAAGUAACAAUAUAAUUUAUUGCAGAAGUAUAUGUUUAUAUAUCAAAACCUCAUGGUAACGACAAACCAAAAGUCUACAAUAGACACACAAAUUAGAAAAAGCAAUCCAAACACAACACUAAAUAUUGUCAUCAAACCACAAGAGAAGAGAACAAGAAGGGAGGAAAAAAGACCAACAAAAACAAAUCCAAAACAAUUAACAGAAUGGCAAUACGAACAUACAUAUCAAUAAUUAUCUUACAUAUAAAUGGACUAAAUGCUCCAACCAAAAGACAUAGACUGGCUGAAUGGACAUAGAAUUAAGGCCCAUAUAUAUGCUGUCUUCAAGAGACCCAUUUCAGUUCUAGGGACGCAUACAAAUUGAAACUGAGAGGAUGGAGGAAAAUGUUCCAUGCAGAUGGAAGUCCAAAGAAAGCUGGAGUAGCAAUACUCAUAUCAGACAAAAUAGACCUUAAAAUAAUGUUAUGUGAGACAAAGAAGGACAUUACAUUUGUGAUUAAAGGAUCAAUCUAAGAAGAAUAACAAUUGUAAAUAUAUAUGCACCCAACCUAGGAGCACCUCGGUAUAUAAGGCAAGUGCUAACAGUCUUAAAUGGAGAAAUCGGCAGAAAUCAAUUGCAUUUCUAUGUACUAAUAAUCAAAGAUCAGAAAGAAAAAUUAGUAAAACCAUCCCUUCAAAAAGAGUAAAAUACCUAGGAAUAAACCUACCUAAAGAGACAAAAGACCUGUACUCUGAAAACUACAAGACACUGAUGAAAGAAAUCAAAGAUGACAUGAACAGAUUAAAAGAUAUACCAUGCUCUUGAACUGGGAGAAUCCAUAUUGUCAAAAUGACUAUACUCCCCAAGACAAUGUACAUAUUCAACACAAUCCCUAUCAGAUUACCGAUGGCAUUUUUCAAAGAAGUAGAAUAAAAUAUUUUAAAAUUUGUAUGGAAGCACAGAAGACAUGAAUAGCCAAAGAAAUCCUCAGAAAGAAAAAUGGAGCUGAAGGAAUCAGGCUCCCUGACUUCAGACUAUACUACAAAGCUACAGUCAUCAAAACAGUAUGAUACUGGCAUAAAAACAGAAAUACAGGUCAAUGGAACCAGGUGCAAGGCCCCAAAUAAACCCACACACAUAUGGUCAACUAAUCUUUGACAAAGGAGGCAAGAAUAUAACAAUGGAGAAAAGAUAGUUUCUUCAGUAAGUGGUGCUGGAAUAAAUGGACAGCUACAUGUAAAAGAAUGAAAUUAGAACACUCUCUAACACCAUACACAAAAUAAACUCAAAAUAGGUUAAAGACCUAAAUAUAAGAACAGAUACAAUAAAAUUCUUAGAGAAAAACAGGCUGAACAGUCUCUGACAUAAACUGCAGCAAUAUCUUUUCAGACUCACUUCCUAGAGUAAUAACAAUAAAAAAAAAGUAAACAAGUGGGACCUAAGUAAACUUAAACAUUUUUGCGCUGCAGAUGAAACCAUAAACAAAACGAAAAUAUAACCCACAGAGUGGGAAAAAAUAUUUGCAAAUGAAGUGACUGAUAAGGGAUUGGUCUGCAAAAUAUAUGAACACCUCCUGCAGCUCAAUAUCAAAAAAACAAACACCCCAUCAAAACAUGGGCAGAAGAACUAAAGAGACAUCCGAAGAAGACAUACAGAUCACAAAAAAACAAAACAAAACAAAACAAAAAAA
Molecule: long non-coding RNA, 3983 nt
Filed under: Sus scrofa (pig)
Lineage: Eukaryota; Metazoa; Chordata; Mammalia; Artiodactyla; Suidae
Description: lncRNA (ENSSSCG00030069225.1)
Source: RNAcentral